Molecule: ribosomal RNA, 503 nt
Filed under: uncultured bacterium
Lineage: Bacteria
Description: partial 16S ribosomal RNA
Rfam family: Bacterial small subunit ribosomal RNA
Source: RNAcentral
AUUGAACGCUGGCGGCAGGCUUAACACAUGCAAGUCGAGCGGGGUGAUGGUGCUUGCACUAUCACUUAGCGGCGGACGGGUGAGUAAUGCUUAGGAAUCUGCCUAUUAGUGGGGGACAACAUCUCGAAAGGGAUGCUAAUACCGCAUACGUCCUACGGGAGAAAGCAGGGGAUCACUUGUGACCUUGCGCUAAUAGAUGAGCCUAAGUCGGAUUAGCUAGUUGGUGGGGUAAAGGCCUACCAAGGCGACGAUCUGUAGCGGGUCUGAGAGGACGAUCCGCCACAAUGGGACUGGGACACGGCCCAGACUCCUACGGGAGGCAGCAGUGGGGAAUAUUGGACAAUGGGGGGAACCCUGAUCCAGCCAUGCCGCGUGUGUGAAGAAGGCCUUAUGGUUGUAAAGCACUUUAAGCGAGGAAGAGGCUCUUUUGGUUAAUACCCAAGAUGAGUGGACGUUACUCGCAGAAUAAGCACCGGCUAACUCUGUGCCAGCCGCCGCCGUAA